UGUGGUGUACAGCGUUUGGUUCUCGUGGUUCUCUAUGUGAUCGUACGGAUUCUUCUUCAGACUGUGAACGUCGCUUGGCUUGCAAACGGCGUCGUAGUCGAGGUUAGGUUUGCCGGCGAGGUUCGGCUCUCCGAUACCUAGAGUGUACGGACACCGCCUCAUCUCGCAUUCGAUGGAAUAGAAGAUUUUCUGCGCCAUGUCCUCAG
Molecule: unclassified non-coding RNA, 206 nt
Filed under: Hevea brasiliensis (rubber tree)
Lineage: Eukaryota; Viridiplantae; Streptophyta; Magnoliopsida; Malpighiales; Euphorbiaceae
Source: RNAcentral